CCUACGGGCGGCAGCAGUGAGGAAUAUUGGUCAAUGGGCGUGAGCCUGAACCAGCCAAGUCGCGUGAGGGAUGACUGCCCUAUGGAUUGUAAACCUCUUUUAUAAAGGAAUAAAGUGAGGCACGUGUGCCUUUUUGUAUGUACUUUAUGAAUAAGGAUCGGCUAACUCCGUGCCAGCAGCCGCGGUAAUACGGAGGAUCCGAGCGUUAUCCGGAUUUAUUGGGUUUAAAGGGUGCGUAGAUGGGCUUUUAAGUCAGUUGUGAAAGUUUGUGGCUCAACCGUAAAAUUGCAAUUGAUACUGGCAGUCUUGAGUAUAGUUGAGGCAGGCGGAAUGCGUGGUGUAGCGGUGAAAUGCUUAGAUAUCACGCAGAACCCCGAUUGCGAAGGCAGCUUGCCAAGCCAUGACUGACAUUGAUGCACGAAAGCGUGGGUAUCAAACAGGAUUAGAUACCCGGGUAGUC
RNAcentral lists this ribosomal RNA (460 nucleotides) under uncultured bacterium. Its description in RNAcentral is "partial 16S ribosomal RNA". It matches the Rfam family "Bacterial small subunit ribosomal RNA", at positions 338 to 795 of the family's 1533-position model. The record is from RNAcentral.